Molecule: long non-coding RNA, 247 nt
Organism: Hyaena hyaena (striped hyena)
Lineage: Eukaryota; Metazoa; Chordata; Mammalia; Carnivora; Hyaenidae
Exons: 3
Source: RefSeq, a predicted model, not a curated record
CCGGCCUUCAGGAAAUGCACGGGCUGCCGCCCGAGGUCGCCGGGAACUCCAGGUGGGAUUUAAAACCGAGAAGUCUGCACAUUUGAAGACUUAUGCGGUAGAAGAAGUGAAUGACUCCUGUGUUUUCACUGUUUGGACGUUGCUAGAUCUGCAUGGGGAAAGACUUGUUUGUGCAGAGAAAAAGAAUAGCAGUGCCCACGCCAUAGGAGUGCCCCAAGUGGAACACACUGGAGUCCCCAAGACACCG